Molecule: long non-coding RNA, 796 nt
Organism: Ostrea edulis (European flat oyster)
Lineage: Eukaryota; Metazoa; Mollusca; Bivalvia; Ostreida; Ostreidae
Exons: 2
Source: RefSeq, a predicted model, not a curated record
UUGAUGACCGUUACUCAUUGACCACAGUCAGAGUGACCAAUAAGAAUGCUAAAUUUCGCACAUUCAUUUACGCAGUAUUAUUCUCGCCCCCCAUUUUGCCGCCAUCAUCAUACAUCAGAAAAAUUGCGUUAUCUGAAAUUGGUAAAGGAACCAGGAAAUAUUAGACAGGGUAUAUAAACGUAUGAUGCCGUGAGAAGUCCAACCAUUUCCAACCAGUGAGUGUGUGAAAAACUCGAGCACUUGAGAACUGUUUGCAAGAAUUUUCCACAAUGAAAUCCGCCUAUCUCGCUCUCCUGGUGGCCUGUGUGCUGGUCUCUGCUGUCCACGGUCAGUGGUACGGACGUGGAAGAUGGGGCGGAGGAUAUGGAUUGGGCGGACUAGGAGGACUGGGCGGCCUCCUCGGUGGCGGACUUUUCAACAGAUGGGGCGGUGGUCUCGGGGGCGGAUUUCUCGGUCUCGGGCGCGGACGAUUUAACAGAUGGGGCGGUGGUCUCGGGGGCGGACUUCUUGGUCUCGGGCGCCGUCGUUUUAGGAGAAGGGGAUAUUAUUAAAAGAAAAAAUGCAGCAUGAACAUUUUGUAUAUUAAUUUAUAUUGCCAUAUCAUUAAUAUCCAUUUUACAUUAUGUUCAUAUUCGUGAUGUAAUUUGAAGAAAGCAUUCUACAUGUAUAUUUUAGAUAGAACGUACAUGUAUCACAAAAUAAUUUCAAAGUUUUGAGAUUAUGCCAUUAUAUGUUAUGUAGUUUAUUACUAUGUAAUACGUUGCUUGAUUAACAAAAAAUAAAAUGUGAAAUGACA